RNAcentral lists this ribosomal RNA (452 nucleotides) under uncultured bacterium. RNAcentral describes it as "bacterial SSU rRNA". It matches the Rfam family "Bacterial small subunit ribosomal RNA", at positions 64 to 507 of the family's 1533-position model. The record is from RNAcentral.
GGACGGUAGCACAGAGAGCUUGCUCUUGGGUGACGAGUGGCGGACGGGUGAGUAAUGUCUGGGGAUCUGCCCGAUAGAGGGGGAUAACCACUGGAAACGGUGACUAAUACCGCAUAACGUCGCAAGACCAAAGAGGGGGACCUUCGGGCCUCUCACUAUCGGAUGAACCCAGAUGGGAUUAGCUAGUAGGCGGGGUAAUGGCCCACCUAGGCGACGAUCCCUAGCUGGUCUGAGAGGAUGACCAGCCACACUGGAACUGAGACACGGUCCAGACUCCUACGGGAGGCAGCAGUGGGGAAUAUUGCACAAUGGGCGCAAGCCUGAUGCAGCCAUGCCGCGUGUAUGAAGAAGGCCUUCGGGUUGUAAAGUACUUUCAGCGGGGAGGAAGGCGGUGAGGUUAAUAACCUUACCGAUUGACGUUACCCGCAGAAGAAGCACCGGCUAACUCCGUG